This 396-nucleotide ribosomal RNA is filed under the name uncultured bacterium. Its description in RNAcentral is "partial 16S ribosomal RNA". It matches the Rfam family "Bacterial small subunit ribosomal RNA", at positions 523 to 918 of the family's 1533-position model. The record is from RNAcentral.
AUACGUAGGUGGCAAGCGUUGUCCGGAAUUAUUGGGCGUAAAGCGCAUGUAGGCGGUUUGGUAAGUCGGUCGUGAAAAUGCGGUGCUUCACGCCGUAUGGCGAUUGAAACUGCUGAACUUGAGUGUAGGAGAGGAAAGGGGAACUCCCAGUGUAGCGGUGAAAUGCGUAGAUAUUGGGAAGAACACCGGUGGCGAAGGCGCCUUUCUGGACUGUGUCUGACGCUCAGAUGCGAAAGCCAGGGUAGCGAACGGGAUUAGAUACCCCGGUAGUCCUGGCCGUAAACGAUGGGUACUAGGUGUGGGAGGUAUCGACUCCUUCCGUGCCGGAGUUAACGCAAUAAGUACCCCGCCUGGGGAGUACGGCCGCAAGGCUUAAACUCAAAGGAAUUGACGGGG